RNAcentral lists this ribosomal RNA (433 nucleotides) under uncultured bacterium. Its description in RNAcentral is "partial 16S ribosomal RNA". It matches the Rfam family "Bacterial small subunit ribosomal RNA", at positions 29 to 507 of the family's 1533-position model. The record is from RNAcentral.
AGCGAACGCUGGCGGCAGGCCUAACACAUGCAAGUCGAACGAACUCUUCGGAGUUAGUGGCGGACGGGUGAGUAACACGUGGGAACGUGCCUUUAGGUUCGGAAUAACUCAGGGAAACUUGUGCUAAUACCGAAUGUGCCCUUCGGGGGAAAGAUUUAUCGCCUUUAGAGCGGCCCGCGUCUGAUUAGCUAGUUGGUGAGGUAAAGGCGCACCAAGGCGACGAUCAGUAGCUGGUCUGAGAGGAUGAUCAGCCACAUUGGGACUGAGACACGGCCCAAAAUCCUACGGGAGGGAGCAGUGGGGAAUCUUGCGCAAUGGGCGAAAGCCUGACGCAGCCAUGCCGCGUGAAUGAUGAAGGUCUUAGGAUUGUAAAAUUCUUUCAACGGGGACGAUAAUGACGGUACCCGGAGAAGAAGCCCCGGCUAACUUCGUG